GCGUUAUGGUAAGCGCCUGGGCUGGCUUUUAGCCAGCUGACGAGGUUGGGGGAUGAUCGAAAUUAUCGGCGGGUGCCCCCAUGGCCAUGGAAGAUAGGCCAUUAAGCUGUCCUACAAAACCGCGGAGCGAUCUGAGGGACAAAGGGGACGGUAAUUCUUCCG
This 162-nucleotide non-coding RNA is filed under the name Synergistales bacterium. RNAcentral's name for it is "GlcN6P sequence". It matches the Rfam family "glmS glucosamine-6-phosphate activated ribozyme aptamer". Rfam says of the family: This entry contains a glucosamine-6-phosphate activated ribozyme that is found in the mRNA for GlmS. GlmS is an enzyme that uses fructose-6-phosphate and glutamine to generate glucosamine-6-phosphate. The record is from RNAcentral. Lineage: Bacteria; Thermotogati; Synergistota; Synergistia; Synergistales.